RNAcentral lists this ribosomal RNA (516 nucleotides) under uncultured bacterium. Its description in RNAcentral is "partial 16S ribosomal RNA". It matches the Rfam family "Bacterial small subunit ribosomal RNA", at positions 28 to 523 of the family's 1533-position model. The record is from RNAcentral.
GACGAACGCUGGCGGCGUGCCUAACACAUGCAAGUCGAACGGAGAUUUUAUUUAUGAAAUCUUAGUGGCGAACGGGUGAGUAACGCGUAGACAACCUGCCUUUUAGAUGGGGACAACACCGCGAAAGUGGUGCUAAUACCGAAUGUGGUAUUUUGGUCGCAUGAUUGAGAUACUAAAGAUGGCCUCUAUUUAUAAGCUAUCACUAAAAGAUGGGUCUGCGUCUGAUUAGCUAGUUGGUGAGGUAAUGGCCCACCAAGGCGACGAUCAGUAGCCGGUCUGAGAGGAUGAACGGCCACACUGGGACUGAGACACGGCCCAGACUCCUACGGGAGGCAGCAGUGGGGAAUCUUCCGCAAUGGACGAAAGUCUGACGGAGCAACGCUGCGUGAGUGAAGAAGGUUUUCGGAUCGUAAAACUCUGUUUUCAGGGACGAAUGUGCGAUGUGUAAAUAAUGCAUUGUAAUGACGGUACCUGAGUAGAAAGCCACGGCUAACUACGUGCCAGCAGCAGCCGCGG